GGCCGGGUGGCGAAAUGGUAUCGCGUCAGAUUUCGGCGAACUUUCGAGUUCAUGAAACCGUUAUCUCUACCUCUGAAGAUUGUGGGUUCGAAUCCCAUCUCGGUCG
RNAcentral lists this transfer RNA (106 nucleotides) under Pestalotiopsis fici W106-1. It matches the Rfam family "tRNA". Rfam says of the family: Transfer RNA (tRNA) molecules are approximately 80 nucleotides in length. Their secondary structure includes four short double-helical elements and three loops (D, anti-codon, and T loops). Lineage: Eukaryota; Fungi; Ascomycota; Sordariomycetes; Amphisphaeriales; Sporocadaceae. The record is from Rfam by way of RNAcentral.